Long non-coding RNA from Lolium perenne, 3747 nucleotides. RefSeq lists it as uncharacterized. Lineage: Eukaryota; Viridiplantae; Streptophyta; Magnoliopsida; Poales; Poaceae. The record is from RefSeq and is a predicted model, not a curated record.
AUACCCUCGUUCCAUUCGCCUGUCGUAGCCGCCCCGUCCCCGUGUGCUCUGCCGCCUCUCACCUUCCCAUCUCCUCGCGCUCCCCUUCCCUCGCUUCGCCUAGCAGGAAGGUCUCUUCCUUGACCAGGGCGGCCACGACUCUAGCUGGCGCUCGAGUUCCUCGCAGCAGGUGGCGGCUCUCGUCGUCAAGCACGGCACCGGCGCAGGAGCGGUCGACGAUAUGGUCAGGCGGGAGAGGAGGGGGUCGGAUCUCCCUGCCGUUCUACCCAUCCUUGCCGGGCCACCCCUCCCAACACGCACCAGCCUCUCUACUCUCUCUUACAGAAACGUCUGCAACACCAACUCGAAACCCAACAUGGAUACAUGCUUUUCUGUGAGGUAAUGGACAUGUCCUUAUUUCAGACUUGUGAUUUAUUGUAGCUUGUAGGUGGUGGACAAUGCAUUAGGUCAGGCUUCUAAAUCAUGUGAGGUUCCCAUGUGCUUUUCAAGUGUUUAUUCACUUUUGUGUAGGUCAAAAGAACAAAUAUGCAGAUUACUUGUUGAUGAAGUGAAGUGAUCUAAUCAGACAAUUCAGUUGACCAACGGGACAAUGCCCUCAAGUCGAAGGAACAAAUAUGCAGAUUUUUCCUCUAGGAUGUAUUACGCUGAUGCAAUAACUGGACCGUGACGUACUCCUGCACAAAUCAGUACAUAGUUAUACCUUAACUUACUGCCUUUUCCCUAUGCAUAAACUACUUUAAUUAUCAAAAUAAUGUACUGUCCUUUCUCUGGUAACAAAUAUGGUGUAGUAUAGAUUUUCUGUACUACCACAUCGCUCUCUUCUUUGUAUCGUCGUAAUAUCACUACUCACUCUAUCUUUGUAAGCUAUACGAAUAGUCAAUAUCAUACUCUCCCCAGACAGCGAUAUGUCAAACUUUUGGUUGUCCUCGUCGUACUCCCGCACGCGCCCAUAUGGGCCAGGCCCAACUAAAACUGCCAGCCUCCCAUCGUUUGUCCCUUGUCCCCUACUCUAUGCUCCCACCAGGCCACCCCUAAAAAAAAGUCGAUCCGACCGGACGCCUAGGGUUUUGGCGCCGCCAUGGCCGGCAUGGUCUCCCCCGGGCCCCGGGCACCCUUGCACCGUCUGAUGCCCUAACGUGUCAAAGAAGAGGCGGAGGAGCCUGGGCCAAAUCCUGACGCCACCUGCAUCGCGUCAAUGGCGGGAUCGUGUUCAGGUCAGUCGCGAAGGAGAGGGGAAGAAGGGUCGUCGCUGUUGGAGGUGGGAGGAUGUGGUGGUGCCACUGGGGAGAGGACCUAGAGGGGGUGCCACCGGCUUGUUAUUCUUAGCCCCCCGUCCAGCAGAUCCCCGCCCGUGCCCGUGCUGGGGAGAGAGGGGCGGCCAGAUGGAAGGUGAGGAAGGCUCUCCAGGCCAAGGGAGAGCUGGUACCCGGAGGAGCACUUCCUCGAUGCCCAACUCAGGUUCGGCUGUGCCUGGAAGAUGGUCGAGGAGCACGUCAGAUCUGGAUCUGAUCAUAUUUUGGUUUUUGUUUGGGAUGAACGGAGGUGAACGGAGGUGACAAUAAAUUCAGAGUUCUGAACCAGCAUGUCGUUAUGCAAAGGAAUCCUAGGAGCCAGGAUAUCGGGCAUCUUCAGUAGUCAAACACCUGGUACAUAUGAGUUAUGGAAGACAGAUGGUGCAUCUGCUAGGAAGCCUCAUGCCACCAAUUUGAGUCAGAGCUUUGGACUCCUGAACGGGUAUCUGGCGAUUAAAACUCAUGAAAGAGAAGUCCUAUGGUGAAGUUUGUGAUGUAUUUGGUAGAGCCAAUGUUUUAUUAGCUUCCAAGGAUGGAAGUUUGGCGGCAUCUGUUGAGAAUGGUUAGAUGUUCCAGUGAUUGAUGUUGAGAAUGGAUAGUUUUAUUUGACCUCAACUCUUGGGUUAAACCGGAAGUGAUGGAACUUGGCAUAGAUCAGUCUCAGUCCAGAAGUAGUACAUGUGGUUGGUUCACAAACUUCUGGUGGUAACGUGAAUCGUUGUUUCAAUCGCCUAUUUUCAUUAAUCUGGUGACUUCCAUCCUUGUUCGCUGUUUGGGAGAAAGACAAAGACCAACAAAGGAACAGUUGUUAAUAACCCUGACUAUCGAUUACGAUUGGUCUCUUGGCAUGGACUUUAACAUCAAGUAAAGAAGAUAUGGUAUCUGUUAGCAGAGUAAUAUCUCUAAAUGGUCCACUAUUGUCAAAAUGCACGGUUAGCUGGUGCAUUUGGAUAUGCAGACAAUCUUCAUGGAUAGCUGGUGCAUUUGGAUAUGCAGACAAUCUUCUUGCUGCUGCACCUGUAGGCCUAUGGGGGCUGCUUCUUUUGUUUCAGAAAGCGGAAUAGAAAACCCAGACACAUGAGUGGAGAGGAUGGUGCAGGUUUACCACAACCUGGCCAAGUGGGAGUACUUCUGCCCGCUUACCCCAGCCUACACUUACGUGUCACCAAAGCUGGGCUGCUGGCCUACGAUGUUGACAACCUGUCGGCAGUAGGGCAGCCGGAACUGAACAUUGUUGCGUCAGGGACUCCCUUCACGUCGUGCUGAAGAACCCUACAUAAUUGGACGCGGGGCGUCGGAGCAGAUGGCAUGUAGCACAAACCAAUUUGGGGAUUCAGAAACGGCGAUGUGGGGCACGUCGGGGAAGGAAAUUCCAGUGCCUGAAACCACUGGAACGGAUGCAUGACGUGUUCAAGAUCGACACACAAUGAGUCAAUCCAGGCAUCCAAGAAAUCUUUUUUUGAAAGAUCUAGCUUGGCUGUCUUUUGUAUAUUAAGCAGAGGGAAAUACAAGACCACGAAGUGUGGUAAGUAAAAGUAUACAAAGACAGAGGACCUCACAAAGGUUCUCUGAAGGGAGCUACUAGACAUUUGGCAUCAGCAAGACGCCAUGAAUAAGGGAGAGAUUGCAUGCAUUAAUGAGGUUGUGCCCAAGAUUUUUUAUCCAAGUGUUGUCCAAUAAGUCUGUUUUGACAGCUCGGUUCUUUCUCUUGGAGUGCUUAAAUAGCGCGGGGAAAGCUAAGCGCAGGGGAUGCGCAAGGAGCCAUGAAGACUCCCAGAAGGAGGCACGGAGCAUGUCGCCAACUGUGACUGAUUUCAGUCCUAACACAAUACAUCAUUAGUAUCCUCUUUCAUCUGCGCAAAUCAUGCGCUGUUGGCUAAUCUGCAAUGCCAACAUGCUUGGGAAUUGGGAUCAUGGUGGCCAUGAAACUGAAGAUUAGUACAAUUUUUGAGGACCAAAAAUUUAGUGUUUGUCGGCCUUCAUCUUGGGACAGCAGACAACAUGGACUGAGCACUCCUGUGAUUGUUGUGGAUCGACUCUGUGCUGCUGGCUCUCAACUACUCUGUAGUAUUAGUAAUAUGAUGUAUGUCCAUGCGCAGCUCUUAUAUCACGAUUGCAGCUCAUUGAAUUGUCCAUUGUUAAUAUGACCCUAUCCAACAGAGUACUUUCUAUCACUACUGCGUAUGUUUCAUUUUUCCUAGGAUUUAUCCAACUGAUCAAUGAUUGAAUGACUUUUCACUUCCUGACUUAUAAGGUGAAGCUAAAGGUGAGAAACUAUCUGCAGAGAAUUUGGGUUUUGUUCAUUGUGUUUGGGAAACAUUUGUUGAUUGUUAUCUCGAAAGUCAAGGAGUUGAUGCUUUACUGAAUAUCUAGACCUUGGAUGGAUUGUUACCCGGAUUCAUUUGGUGUCCUGAUGGCUUCGAUGAACCUUCUCUGUAAUGAUGCCACCUUGGAU